UGGUGGAGUGAUUUGUCUGCCUAAUCGCGAUAACGAACGAGACCUUAACCUGCUAAAUAGCCCGUAUUGCCUUGGCAGUACGCUGGCUUCUUAGAGGGACUAUCGGCUCAAGCCGAUGGAAGUUUGAGGCAAUAACA
RNAcentral lists this ribosomal RNA (137 nucleotides) under uncultured eukaryote. Its description in RNAcentral is "partial 18S ribosomal RNA". It matches the Rfam family "Eukaryotic small subunit ribosomal RNA", at positions 1299 to 1458 of the family's 1831-position model. The record is from RNAcentral.